This 132-nucleotide non-coding RNA is filed under the name Candidatus Brocadia. RNAcentral's name for it is "c-di-GMP sequence". It matches the Rfam family "c-di-GMP-I riboswitch aptamer". Rfam says of the family: GEMM was predicted in a large-scale screen for bacterial structured RNA regulatory elements. Lineage: Bacteria; Pseudomonadati; Planctomycetota; Candidatus Brocadiia; Candidatus Brocadiales; Candidatus Brocadiaceae. RNAcentral also lists the same sequence under 1 other name. The record is from RNAcentral.
GCACGAUAAUGGCAAACUUCGAGUGAUCGGGGGACGCAAAGGAAAGGGUCUUUAAUCCGCAAAGAUGGCAUGCACCUGACAUAAAAAAAGCUCUAGCUAUAGCCAAGGUUUAAAGAUAGCCCUCCUGCCGAA